UACGUAGGGGGCAAGCGUUGUCCGGAUUUAUUGGGCGUAAAGAGCGUGUAGGCGGCUUGGUAGGUCCGCUGUGAAAACUCGAGGCUCAACCUCGAGAUGUCGGCGGAAACCACUUGGCUAGAGUCCGGAAGAGGAGAGUGGAAUUCCUGGUGUAGCGGUGGAAUGCGCAGAUAUCAGGAGGAACACCGGUGGCGAAGGCGGGAUCCUGGGCCAGUACUGACGCUGAGGAGCGAAAGCGUGGGGAGCGAACAGG
This 253-nucleotide ribosomal RNA is filed under the name uncultured bacterium. RNAcentral describes it as "partial 16S ribosomal RNA". It matches the Rfam family "Bacterial small subunit ribosomal RNA", at positions 524 to 776 of the family's 1533-position model. The record is from RNAcentral.